Molecule: long non-coding RNA, 2031 nt
Organism: Megalobrama amblycephala (Wuchang bream)
Lineage: Eukaryota; Metazoa; Chordata; Actinopteri; Cypriniformes; Xenocyprididae
Exons: 3
Source: RefSeq, a predicted model, not a curated record
UUUUGUGCAAAACUUUAAGGCAUUAAUUUGACUCCAUAGAAAACACCAUAUAAAGUUAAACAGAAAUUAUUAUUCUAUAUUUUAAAUACUAUCACAAUGAAACAAUAUUUUGUCUGUGCUUGCCCAAACAAAAAUGUAGAGAUAAUUGUUAUUAGAAUGUUGCUAUGCAGUUGCUGGGGUUUUCUACAUUGUUAUUUAACACAUUUAUGUUGUUUUUAGGGUGUUCUCAUGCUGCAGGGGUGAGCAAUAGUUACCUUAGCAAUCACCACUAAUUAUAAAACCAACACCUCCAACGCAUACUGGGAAAACGCGUGUCAUCCUGUAUAUCACAAUAUGUGAAGUAUUAUUAUUGGAAACGCAACCAGGCAUAAAUUCUCAAAAUUUCUGUUAAUUCCUACUAUUUCAGGUACGUUGCAGCUUAAUUGCUUUGCUUGCUCUAUUAGUUUGUUUCGUUGUGCAUCAUUUGAUCUCUGUACAGCACUCACAACACUAAACUCUUGAUUAACCAAGCCAGUGGCAGUUCCAGUCUCUAAAGGGAAUGAUGCAUAAGCACUUUUCUUCUCGCGCCCGUGUAUCUCGUCAAACAUUUAAAUGAAAUGCCGCACAUGAGUUUGUGUGUUUCAUUUCACGAGCAUGCACUGAGUGAGGUGGUGUCACUCAUAAUUAUCUGUCUGUCAGCUUGAGAACAGAAUAAGCAAAGCACACACUGUUCAUAACUCUCCUCUCCUGUCACACUCAGUUGGUGCUUGUUCUCAGGAUAAGGACGCAUGACUCUGUCAAACAUUUAAGUUUGCUUGCCACUUCAACAAUACCUAAAACCCUGAAUCUGGGCAAACCACCAACUAACUGAAACCUACAACCUUUCGACAGGCUCACAGCGCAGACCGGGGCAAUUGUACAUCCUGUUACAGCACUCGGUGUGCCCUGCUCCCAGUCCAGCUGUGCUGUAAUGCACUUCUGAGCUGGUGGGAUCGGACCGAAGCUCUGCUCAAUAGCAGCAGGAUUUUUGGGAUUUUACGAGGAUCUCAAUGAGGAGUGGAUUCCGCUGUUCCUUGAGACAGCUCAGAGGAGCUUGCGCAUACAGGCAAGGAGCGUGCAAGGUUGUGUGCUGUGAGAGAGAAGUUGUUUUUCCUUUUCUUUUGUUGUGUAAUCUGCAAUGUCAACUCAUAUGUCUGUUACUGUCUAACACCACCAGCCACCUAUUUCAGGACCGCUUCAGCACAACAAUUCCCACACAAUUCAAUUAACGGACUGAAAAUAGGGCUCCCAAGACUGUCUUUGUUACAGCACUAAUAUGACUGCCAACGGGAGAAUGUAGUCCGUUAAAAGAUUCUCCUCCACUAAUUCUCCAAGAAGGCCAUAUUCUAAGCUAAAGAGGCCUUUGUCUUACACUUCCUUUUGGCACGCAGAGCUCCGGCGUCCUCAUCUCACAUUGACGGCACUCCUAUUGUGCUCUCCAGAUGAGCUGCUUUAAUUGAGCUUUGCUCUAGAUCUGUUUAAUUUAACUGGAUAGAUAUUUGCUUUCAUUAGUGGAAUGUGUUGGGUUGACCUUUGAAGUACUUAUUUAGAGCCAUGUGGUUAAUUGAAAACUUUUGUAAAGCUGCUAUUAAAUUACCGGCAACAUGCAUAAAGAUUUUCUGGGAAACAUGCUCGUAUUCGGUACUGAACAGAAAGAUUAGCGUUAUCUGGUGAAAUUAAAUUGAAUGUUUACAGGGUCGCUUCUGUUAUGCAGUACCUUUGAACUGUAACUUUUACAAAAUGAAUAUGCUUGGCUGCAUUCACAGUCACACAGUGAUUAGGAUUGACUGUAUUUACUAACUGUACUUGUUCACUUUGAGGCUGUCAUGAGCAUUUCAAAAUUUGCAGAUAAUGUUUUUCCUCCAUUUAGUACUUAAAGCUGCAAUCCCUAAAUUUUGCCUCUUUGUCGCCAUCUCUGUUUGAAACCUGCAAUUGCAGUUAUUUGCGGAAUUAUCAUCUUUACGUAGGUUGCGCAUCAGCACGGCUCCUCAGCGCGGAUGAAUCUAAUGUUUU